RNAcentral lists this ribosomal RNA (395 nucleotides) under uncultured bacterium. RNAcentral describes it as "bacterial SSU rRNA". It matches the Rfam family "Bacterial small subunit ribosomal RNA", at positions 28 to 417 of the family's 1533-position model. The record is from RNAcentral.
GACGAACGCUGGCGGCGUGCUUAACACAUGCAAGUCGAGCGAGAAAGCUCCUUCGGGAGUGAGUACAGCGGCGAACGGGUGAGUAACACGUGGGCAACCUGCCCUAGGGAGCGGGACAACCCGAGGAAACUCGGGCUAAUACCGCAUGAUUCGUCGUGCCUCAAGGCGCGACGGGAAAUGGUAGCUUCGGCCUCCGCCCUGGGAUGGGCCCGCGCCGCAUUAGCUUGUUGGUGAGGAACGGCUCACCAAGGCAACGAUGCGUAGCUGGUCUGAGAGGACGAUCAGCCACACUGGGACUGAGACACGGCCCAGACUCCUACGGGAGGCAGCAGUGGGGAAUCUUGCGCAAUGGGCGGAAGCCUGACGCAGCAACGCCGCGUGAGGGAAGACGGCCU